Molecule: ribosomal RNA, 567 nt
Filed under: uncultured Glomeromycotina
Lineage: Eukaryota; Fungi; Glomeromycota
Description: SSU rRNA
Rfam family: Eukaryotic small subunit ribosomal RNA
Source: RNAcentral
UUGGAGGGCAAGUCUGGUGCCAGCAGCCGCGGUAAUUCCAGCUCCAAUAGCGUAUAUUAAAGUUGUUGCAGUUAAAAAGCUCGUAGUUGAACCUCGGGGUCUACCCAUUGGUCAGGCUUAAUUGUCUGCACUGGUGAGAUGGAUCUCUACCUUCUGAGGAACUUUCACGCCAUUUAUUUGGUGUGAUGGGAAAUCAGGACUGUUACUUUGAAAAAAUUAGAGUGUUUAAAGCAGACUAUCGUCUGAAUACAUUAGCAUGGAAUAAUGAAAUAGGACGGACUGAUUCUAUUUCGUUGGUUUCUAGGAUCACCGUAAUGAUUAAUAGGGAUAGUUGGGGGCAUUAGUAUUCAAUUGUCAGAGGUGAAAUUCUUGGAUUUAUUGAAGACUAACUACUGCGAAAGCAUUUGCCAAGGAUGUUUUCAUUAAUCAAGAACGAAAGUUAGGGGAUCGAAGACGAUCAGAUACCGUCGUAGUCUUAACCAUGAACUAUGCCGACUAGGGAUCGGACGAAGUUAAUUUUAUAAUGACGCGUUCGGCACCUUACGGGAAACCAAAGUGUUUGGGUUC